RNAcentral lists this ribosomal RNA (495 nucleotides) under uncultured bacterium. Its description in RNAcentral is "bacterial SSU rRNA". It matches the Rfam family "Bacterial small subunit ribosomal RNA", at positions 29 to 518 of the family's 1533-position model. The record is from RNAcentral.
AUUGAACGCUGGCGGCAUGCUUUACACAUGCAAGUCGAACGGUAACAGGCCGCAAGGUGCUGACGAGUGGCGAACGGGUGAGUAAUGCAUCGGGACGUGCCCAGUCGUGGGGGAUAACGCAGCGAAAGCUGCGCUAAUACCGCAUACGAUCUAUGGAUGAAAGCGGGGGGACCGUAAGGCCUCGCGCGAUUGGAGCGGCCGAUGUCAGAUUAGGUAGUUGGUGGGGUAAAGGCUCACCAAGCCAACGAUCUGUAGCUGGUCUGAGAGGACGACCAGCCACACUGGGACUGAGACACGGCCCAGACUCCUACGGGAGGCAGCAGUGGGGAAUUUUGGACAAUGGGCGCAAGCCUGAUCCAGCAAUGCCGCGUGCAGGAAGAAGGCCUUCGGGUUGUAACUAGCUUUGUACGGAACGAAAAGGACUCUGGUUAAUACCUAGGGCGACAUGACGGUACCGUAAGAAUAAGCACCGGCUAACUACGUGCCAGCAGCCGC